CCCAUGGUUUUUUGCAAAAAUGCCUACAUGUAGUUUGACUUAAUAAUGAACAAUUUUUUACAUCAAUUUGUAGCACAGAGAUUCUUUAGAAAAGCAGAUCAAAGAGUAUCAAGAGUGUCUCUCUUUGUGUUCAAGCACAACUUCCACUUCAGAGGAUGUCUUUACUGACGAAUCAAAAGAUCCUUCAUCCAGUGAGCCUGAUGGAAGGGCUCCUUUAAAGGGCCACAAUGAGAAAUUACGACUUGAGUCUCUUAAUCUUCGCUCGUUAUUGCUACAUGUACCGGAAAUAAAUCUACCCUGGACUGCGUUGAGAGGGGCAUCACAGUGUGGGUGUGGCUCUGCUUUUAACUUCUCAAAGAGAAAGUAUCAUUGCAGUUAUUGUGGUACUGUGGUCUGUAGUACUUUUGGCAGCUAUCAUGCUCCAUUGCGUUAUCUGGCAACAUCAACCACAUCACACAGAGUCUGCAAAUCAUGUUCAAAGAUGAGCAAUAUAAGCAACCAACAGAUUUUAGAAAGAUGAGAAGGAGCAAGUGCUGAUGACACACAAGCAACUCAUAUGACUUGAACAAUACACAAACAAAAAAUAAAACACAAAAAUACAUUUAAUACACAGAAAAAUAGAGUGAAAAGGAGAGAGAGAGGGGGGGUGAGGAUAAUAAACAAGGAAGAAGUAUUGAGAAACUAAUACAUAAUUUAUAUAAUAAUAAUAAUAAUAAUAUAUAGUUAGUUGUUGCUGUUAGAACAAAUGUAAAAAAUGUACCCAACACUUAAA
Molecule: long non-coding RNA, 772 nt
Organism: Amphimedon queenslandica
Lineage: Eukaryota; Metazoa; Porifera; Demospongiae; Haplosclerida; Niphatidae
Exons: 3
Source: RefSeq, a predicted model, not a curated record